UGUAUUGCCCAUGGUUUGCUGCCUCUGCCCCGGUUAUUCUGAGUGUGAAUGGUGUCAAAAUAACGCAGUCGUGUAAUGGCUUGCUUGUUUACUGGUAUUUUAAAAUGGGAACGACCAGCGGGAGUUUUAUCCAUAAUCCAACCAUUUCGCAAUUCGAGAUAUUUUCCCGAGGAAUUUAGGUCGUUUGUUAUGGCUCUUUGCUUGGCUUUUGAUCCUCGGAAAUAAUUGCAACAUAAGGCCCUUUCUGUUCGAUUAGAGGAUUUUUAUAAGAAAACGUAUCGAAUUUGACAUUUAUUCAUCUUAGAAUUUGUUAGGGAUAAACUUCCAUACGGAUGAAGAUAUCCUUCUCUCCUUUGCUGGCAUUAACUGUGGUGGCGCUGCUCAUUGGCCGCCAACGGACCAUAACCGAAUUUCAUUUUAUUUUGAUGUUGAGCAAGUGUUGCUCAAAGGGAUUGCCAAAGCCUAUCAUAUCUCAAUGGAUUGAAGGAUUAUUCUGUAUUUUGGUGUCUGGAG
RNAcentral lists this unclassified non-coding RNA (513 nucleotides) under Hevea brasiliensis (rubber tree). Lineage: Eukaryota; Viridiplantae; Streptophyta; Magnoliopsida; Malpighiales; Euphorbiaceae. The record is from RNAcentral.